GGAAAUGUGGCUUAGUGGUAGAGUGCUUGCCUAGCAGUCAUGAAGCCCUGGGUUCGAUUCCUCAUUACCA
RNAcentral lists this transfer RNA (70 nucleotides) under Dipodomys ordii (Ord's kangaroo rat). It matches the Rfam family "tRNA". Rfam says of the family: Transfer RNA (tRNA) molecules are approximately 80 nucleotides in length. Their secondary structure includes four short double-helical elements and three loops (D, anti-codon, and T loops). Lineage: Eukaryota; Metazoa; Chordata; Mammalia; Rodentia; Heteromyidae. The record is from Rfam by way of RNAcentral.